GUAGGGAAUAUUGGGCAAUGGAUGCAAGUCUGACCCAGCCAUCCCGCGUGCCGGAAGAAGGCCCUCAGGGUUGUAAACGGCUUUUGACGGUGAAGAAUCGACAGGAUGCGUCCUGUUUUGACGGUAGCCGUUGAAUAAGCACCGGCUAACUCCGUGCCAGCAGCCGCGGUAAUACGGAGGGUGCGAGCGUUGUCCGGAUUUAUUGGGUUUAAAGGGUGCGUAGGCUGGAAGGUCAGUCAGCGGUGAAAAGCUGUCGCUUAACGAUAGUCUUGCCGCAGAUACUUCCUUUCUUGGAUGAGGAGGAGGCCACUGGAACGGAUGGUGUAGCGGUGAAAUGCAUAGAUAUCAUCCAGAACACCGAUUGCGAAGGCAGGUGGCUGUACCUUAAUCGACGCUGAUGCACGAAAGCAUGGGGAGCAAACAGGAUUAGAAACCCGUUGUAGUCC
RNAcentral lists this ribosomal RNA (446 nucleotides) under uncultured bacterium. RNAcentral's name for it is "partial 16S ribosomal RNA". It matches the Rfam family "Bacterial small subunit ribosomal RNA", at positions 354 to 796 of the family's 1533-position model. The record is from RNAcentral.